Long non-coding RNA from Taeniopygia guttata (zebra finch), 1939 nucleotides. RefSeq lists it as uncharacterized. The record is from RefSeq and is a predicted model, not a curated record. NCBI's taxonomy places the organism in Eukaryota, Metazoa, Chordata, Aves, Passeriformes, Estrildidae.
GCGGUGACAGUGCAGGAGCAGCUGCAGCAGUGACAGCGCAGUGCAGGAGCAGCUGCAGCAGUGACAGCGCAGUGCAGCAGUGCAGUGCAGCAGUGACAGCGCAGUGCAGGGUCCAGACAAGCUCUGGCCGAGCUCUCAGAGACUUUAUGCAUGAAUACAAUCUGGAGUAGAAACUCAAUGGUCCUAUAAAUCAGGCACAGAGGCAGCCCUGUAUGCAGCCCAGGAUUCACCUGCCUGUCUGCACCUUGUCUUCAUCAGCCAAAUCCUGAGCACCUGGGGGAAGGGCAGCCCUGGCUUGGGGUGGGAGCAGGCAGGAGCUGGAGGAGCUGAGCUGCACAGCCAGGCACGUCCAGCUGGGAUUGUGCUGCCCUGUGCAGGACGUGGAACCAGCCCUGUGCAGGACGUGGAACCAGCCCCGUGCAGGACAUGGAACCAGCCCUGUGCAGGAUGGGGAACCAGCCCCGUGCAGGACACGGAACCAGCCCUGUGCAGGACGUGGAACCAGCCCUGUGCAGGACGUGGAACCAGCUCUGUGCAGGAUGUGGAACCAGCCCUGUGCAGGAUGGGGAACCAGCCCCGUGCAGGAUGUGGAACCAGCCCUGUGCAGGACGUGGAACCAGCUCUGUGCAGGAUGUGGAACCAGCCCUGUGCAGGACAUGGAACCAGCCCUGUGCAGGACAUGGAACCAGCCCUGUGCAGGACGUGGAACCAGCCCCGUGCAGGACGUGGAACCAGCCCUGUGCAGGACGUGGAACCAGCCCUGUGCAGGACAUGGAACCAGCUCUGUGCAGGACGUGGAACCAGCUCUGUGCAGGACGUGGAACCAGCCCUGUGCAGAGCUGCUCUGGAGGAACCAGCCCAGAAACCUUGGCCCAGAGCAGAAGGAGCUGCCCCGUGCAGCACUGCCAGCCUGCUGGGACAGCCACUGUGAGUAUGAGACAGAACUAACUGUGGUGGUGGGAAUAGUAAAUAUUUGAUUAUUUAUUAUUUUCUGUGGUGGUAGCAUUAACAAAAGCUUGCCAUUGCCAUGUGUAGCUUUUGAUUUUCUUCCCUUUAAAUAGCUUUAAGUAAUGCUGGACACAAAAGGCUUCAUUUGCAGCUGUUCAAAUUAACUUUUCAUGGUGGAAAUAAUAGAGGUGGACAGUUAAAACUAAUAUUUUAUAGAUUUUUGUGUAAGGGAAUUUAUAAUCCACAUGUUAGUUGACUGCAAUUUAGAUUACUUAGGAAAGGGCUAAUAAGGAACACAACCUGUGCUCCCAGCCUCCAAAGACAGUUUGUUCUGUUAAGAGAUUGACAUUUAAAUAUUUGGUGUGGAAGAGGAAAAAAAAGAACAUUUCACUGGCUGCAGCACAAACCGGGUUUGGAGUCAUUCAUGGUCCUUAUGUAGAAGUCAAUGAAACAUUUACUGAAAAGCAGAUUUUUGUGUGACAAAAUCUGCUCCUGUUGAAAUGCAGCUUCAAUGUCAACACAGAGUAAUAUUCCACAGAGCUUUUCCCUGUGUGACAAUUAUUUUAACCCAUCCCUGACCUGGGAUGGGUGCUAAAGUCAAGGCCCUGGGUGGCAUUUAGGUGUGUGGCCCAUGGAUUUAGGUGUGUGGCCCAUGGAUUUAGGUGUGUGGCCCAUGGAUUUAGGUGUGUGGCCCAUGGAUUUAGGUGUGUGGCUCUGGAUUUAGGUGUGUGGCUCAUGGAUUUAGGUGUGUUGUUCGUGGAUUUAGGUGCAUGGCUCUGGAUUUAGGUGCGUGGCUCUGGAUUUAGGUGUGUGGCUCUGGAUUUAGGUGUGUUGUUCGUGGAUUUAGGUGCAUGGCUCUGGAUUUAGGUGUGUGGCUCUGGAUUUAGGUGUGUGGCUCUGGAUUUAGGUGUGUGGCUCUGGAUUUAGGUGUGUGGCUCUGGAUUUAGGUGUGUGGCUCUGGAUUUAGGUGUGUGGCCCAUGGAUUUAGGUG